This 4651-nucleotide long non-coding RNA is filed under the name Musa acuminata (dwarf banana). RNAcentral describes it as "long non-coding RNA (MACU_LNC011510)". Lineage: Eukaryota; Viridiplantae; Streptophyta; Magnoliopsida; Zingiberales; Musaceae. The record is from RNAcentral.
AAACAUAAGUCUCCCACGUUUGGGAGCUCCAUCCACCCACGUCUGAGUGAAGUCAUAGGGGGCCGGUAGAGCAUCGCGGGCUCUAAGCAUAACUCCCUUUACCAUUUCUGGCAAAGGUUCACAUUUAUCCCACAAACACCGGAGUACAAAGGGACAGUAUGAAUAAUGAAAUUAGCAUAUAUUGGAAGCACAUGCGGAACAAUGAAAUGUACAUAUGCCUUUCGAGUCAAUACGAUACAAACAUAAUCUUUCACAAUGUAUUCAGAUUUGAAAGGAAACAAAAGCAAGAGCAUACAAGGAUUUCAAGAAACCAUAUAUAGCUCAAUGGAAAUAAAAAAGUUAGAUAAGUUCAAUGUCCAAAGAAAUGAAACUGUAAGAGGCACAUAUCGAAAGCAAAUGCGAAACAAUGGGAUGCAUGUGCCGAAUCAUUACGAUGCAAACAUGAUCUUUAGAUGAUAGCUGCAGAUGUAUAAAUAAAUAAAGGACAAAAGUAUACAAGAAUUUAAGGUAAUAAUGUAAAGCUUAAAUGAAGUAAGAGGUUUUGCCGAAAUCAAUUUCCAAAGAGAAGAAACAAGGAAAGCCGAAAUCGACCAAAGCUCGAUUCUGGCAGAAUUUGAUAGGAACAUUGUAUGAACUAUUUGGAUAACCAAUUAUGCUCCAAUUUAUACAAAAUAGGUGUCAUUAGAAAUCUUUAUCAAUUUAGUUUUAGGCAAAUCAAGGUUAACAAGAAUUGGAAUUUACAACAGGGAGUUACAGAUAAUUUCGUAGCAAAAGGUCUAAAAAUAUUAGCUCUGUUUUACUGAAUCCAUAGGGUCGAUGAAAGCAGAUGUUUCAGUUAGCAAUUGUACUCCAAAAAUUUCAGAUCAGGUAUAUACAGAAAGAAUUUUGAGUCUAGCUUGAAUAAAUACUUUGUAUAAAUCUGAGUUCACAAUAGAAAGUUAUAAGUAGUUAAGCAACAAGAGGUCAGAAAUUUCAGUCCCUGUUUUGUAGAAUUUAUAGGGUUAAUUUAAACAGAAGUCUUAGUAGGCAUUUAAACUCCAAAUCAUUCGAUCUUAGUAUCAAAAUAAAGAUUUUUUUAUCUACUUUCAAAUGGAAUAGGUCUUGUCUAAAUCAGAGUUUAUUACAAAAUGUUAUGGCUGAAACAUUGCAUAAAGGUCAGAUUACCAAAAAAUUACAGAUUCAUAGCUUUAUAUCAAACCGAAAGAAGGUCUGGUUCUCAGUUGAAAUCUUUCAAAUUUUGUAGAAUAAAAAUAGAAACAGAGAUUAAGGUUACUGUGGGAUGGGGUUAGAAUAUUUACCUUAAAAUUAUUUGAAUCCCAAAUGUGAGAAAAUUGAUGAAAAACCUCAAGCUCUUCUUCUUCUUCUUCUUCUUCUUCUUCUUCUUCUUCUUUUCUCAAACUCACGUUGGCUGCAACUCUUCAGGUUUGUUUUCUUUAACCUUUCAUCUAAUUAUUUGGGUUUUGGCUAAUACAAAAGUUGCAAGGUGUCAUGCAUGCAUGAAAGGGGCUAGGUGUCAUCUUUAGAGCAAAGAUAAGUGGCCCCAACCUUAGGUUAGCUAGUGACACAUGUCCACUAUAUAUUUUUUUUUUUAACUUAAAUCUUAAUCUUUUAUAAAUUAUAUCAAACUUCUAAUAUUUACUCUUAAGUCCCUAGCCAUAAACUUUUAAUAUAAUAUAAUUUAAUAUAAAAUAAUUAUUAAAUAAUCCUUAUUUUUACAAACAAACCUUUUACUAAAUUUUUAAAAAUGGGGGAUGUUACACUCUCCCCUCCUUCAAGAAAAAUUUAGUCCUCUAAAUUUAUCAUACCUCAUUCGACGAAAAGAUGAGGAUAAGCUUUCAUCAUUUCUUCCUCAAGUUCCCAAGUUGUUUCCUCUCCAGAAUGAUCUCUCCAGAUCACUUUAACUAGAGGGAUAACCCGAUUCCUCAAGAUCUUUUCUUUUUUUAUCAACAAUCUGAGUGGGCUCUUCCACAUAAGACAAGUCUUUAUCAAUCACCAUCGGCUCAUACUUAAUGAUAUGAGAGGGAUCAGGUAUAUGCUUUCUGAUCAUUGAAACAUAAAAUAUAUCAUGGGUAUGGCACAAUGAUGGUGGCAAGGUAAUCCUGUGCGCAACAUAACCAACCCUCUCAAGAAUCUCAAAAGGUCCAAUAAAUCUUAGGCUUAACUUUCCUUUCUUCCCAAAUCUUACAAUGCCUUUAGAAGGGGAGACCUCAGGAAUACAAAAUCCCUGAUUUGAAACUCAAUAUUUCGUCUUCUAUUAUCAGCAUAACUCUUUUGACGACUCUAAGCAGUCUUUAACCUUUUUCUUAUAAGUUGAAUUUUCUCAGUAGUUUCUUGUACUUUUUCUAGUGCUAAUAAUUUUCUAUUGCCAAUUUCUUCCCAACAUAUAGGCGUCCUGCACUUUCGCUCAAACCUUGUUGGAAUACAUAGAAUCCAUCUCAGAAUUCAUGGCUUCUUGCCACUUCCCGAAGUCUAUACUCAUAAUAGCCUCCUCAUAGGUCUGAGGAUCAAUAUCCUCAACAUCCUCUCCUCUAAUAUGUCUCAUAUAUCUCUCAGGAGGAUGGGAUACUUUGUCAGACCUACGUAAAGUUGAAAUUUGUGUAUUAGCUACCUGAAUAGACUCGGGGUUGUCACGCCCCUCAAAAUAUCCACGAUAUUUAAAAUUUUCCUCACAAACCAAUCCAGGAUCCAAACUAACAUUUGAGGACACUAAAAAAAAUUCUAUCAAAUUCACAUAAAACCUGUGCAGUUUAUAAUCAUAUAUCACAUCACUCAAUAAUUCACAUUUAUGGCAACACAAGCCAACUUAACAAACAUGAACAACAAUUAUAAAUCCACAAGCUAUGUAAUUUAUACAAUCAUAACUCCAACCAUUUACCACAAGUUCAUAUCAUCAUAAACUAGACUUAACAUUACGAAAUUCCAAAUAAGAAAGAUCUUCUAACACUUUUACAUAGUAUAUCCAUUUCGAUUCAUCGACAACAUUUCAGUACAUACAAAAUAUGCUUAUACAACAAUAACAUAAUAACCAACAAGACUUGCCCAUAAUUCUGAAUAGCUCUCCACUACCUCAGCCCAAUUCAAAACAUCUCAAAGAGUGAUAACUUGACCUGAAAGAUUUAUAUAACAACGAAGUGAGCUAAAAACAGCUUAGCAAGUGACAAAGCAUAUUCAGAACAAAAGGAACGGUUUCAAACAAGUAAGAUAUCAUAAUGCAAGGUAGAAUACAAGAUUUCUCAAGGAUACCAUCUCAUUAGAUACAAAAUCAUAGGUGUCAUGUCAUUCAAAACAUAUUUGGUUCAUAACAAAUGGAGCACAGAGUAAUUGGAGCAUAUCAAUAACGUACGAGAUGUUCCGGAGCAUAUCAAUGGCAAAUAGGACAUUUCAGAACAUAUCAGGUCAUAGCAAAUGGAACACAGAGUAAUUGAAGCAUAUCAAUAGCGUAUGAAAUGUUCCGGAGUAUAUCAAUGACAUAUGGAACAUUUCGAAGCGUAACAAUAACAGAUUAAACAGAUAGAAUGUGAAGUGGGAUUCCAAACAUAAUAUGGUCCAUCCAUUUCUGAAUGACCACCAAACAUAAUCUAGAGCAUAUCAGGCUCUAAGCACAUACCCUUUACCAUUUCUGGCAAAGGUCCAAAUAAUCUCACAAACACCAGAGUACAAAAGGGUAUUGUGAACAAUAAUUUAAGACAGUAGUAGAUGAAGCAUUUCGGAGCAUAUCAAUGGCGUAUGAAAUGUUCCGGAGCAUAUCAAUGACAUGGAACAUUUCGAAGCGUAAUAAUAAUAGAUGAAACAUUUCGGAACAUAUCAAUAACAAAUACCAAACAGAAGCUCAAACGUCGUAGUUAACGUUGCAUUCAUAUCAUUCUUAUCCAAAGCAUGUACAUAAACACAUAACCAAAGCUUUAGAUAUCAUAUCAAACAUACAGAAGGUGUAGUGGGACCACAGACAGAAUGUGAUUCAUUCAUUUCUGAAUGACCACCAAACAGAAGUCUCCCACGUCUGGGAGGUCUCCCACGUCUGGGAGCUCCAUCCACCCACGUCUAGGUGAAGUCAGAGGGGGCCGGCAGAGCAUCGUAGGCUCUAUGCAUAACUCCCUUUACCAUUUCUGGCAAAGGUUCACAAAUCCCACAAACACUAGAGUACAAAAGGAUAGUAUGAACAAUGAAUAGCACAUAUCGGAAGCACACGCGGAACAAUAAAACGUACAUGUGCCUUUACGAUUCAAUACGAAGUAAGCAAUAAUCUUUCACAAUUGUAUUCAGAUUUGAAGGGAAAUGAAAGCAAGAGCAUUCAAGGAUUCCAAGCAAUCACAUAUAACUCAAUUCAAAUAAGAAGGUUAGAUGAAUUCAAUGUCCCAAAGGAAUGAAACUGGAAUAGGCACAUAUCAAAAGCAAAUGCGGAACAAUGGGAUAUACAUGUGCCUAUAUGAGUCAAUAUGAUAUAGCAUAAACGUUGCACAAUAGUUUUCAAGAAUGCAAAUAAUUUUAAGGACAAGAGCAUACAAGAAUUCAAAGCAGUAAUAUAAAGCUCAAUUGAAUAAGAAAGCUAAAGGAUAUCAAUAUCCAAAGGAAUGAAACCAUAAUAUGAGAAAUUGACCAAAGCUCGAUUUUUGGCAGAAUGCAAGAGGCACAUUGAACAAAUGAUUCAAAC